UGUACCCGUACCCACAGUGACAGAGGCCUGGGCAAUAUGGCCUGUCCCCAAGGGGGAGGACACGCCCCACAGCUGGCGCCCUGUCCCAGUCGGGGCCUUGGAAGAAGAGGCUGAGGCAGGUGCUUCCCUGGGAAUCGCAGGGCUCGGGGCUGCCAACUGGGUGCCCAGCCCCCUCUCUGCCUGGCUGAGGGGCCUGCUCCUUGCCUCUGUUUCUCCACGGUGGAGGGGGUGCUGAUGGAGCCCCUGGGUGGGGAACUGACAGAAGGCUGAGGGCUUCACUUUUCUGAGGCCUGUGGAGCCCAGACGGGGGCUUCUGUGCUCACGGUCUCUGGGGACACGGGGCAGCCCCAUGGCCUGUCGGGGCUGAGACACACCCUGAGCAUGGUCCCUGGAUGAUGAAUCCUGGCUCUGUGGCUUCGGGCCUGUGGUUCCUCCACUAAACCCCCAGCACUACUCCCUUUCAGCACUGUUCCCCAACACUGCCUCUCAGCUCUGACCCCUGCACUGCCCACCAGCACUGACCCCAGCACUGCCCCCUGAACUGCACCCAAGCUCUGUUCCUGUCCCUACACUCCUCCCUGGCCACACUGGACAUGGCCAGUCCCCAGCAGCCUGUGAUUUCUGCCUUGUACUUUGGAAAGAGUCAGCUCUGGGUCUCCGUCCAGGAGACCUCCAGCUUGGGGAGCUGCCUGCAGCCUCGCUGCCACAGACUAUAGGGGUGGGUGCUGCCGUGGGUUCACAGGCGGGCCCUGGGUGUGCAGGUGGUGCGAGGGCUCUGCGGAGUCAGCCCUGUUACUGCGAUGGGCGGUCUCAUUGUGGUCAUAGUCACUGCAGUCAUCUACACAGCAUCUGACGUCCCGUCACAGUAAACAGGCCUGGCACCAGGAGGUGGGGCCGGCAGAGGGGCCUCCUGGGGGCAGGGAGGGCCUGGACCAACAGGGCCAUGGAGCAGGCUGGGAGCUGCCCUGGGCUCGGAUGUGUGCCCCGUUGCUCAGAUGUUCGGACAUCUUUUGGGAGUCAUCUGUUCACUUCCGUUGCCUGUUUCUCUACUGAGCUGUUUGGAUUUUCCAAGUGAUCCACAGUUCUGUAUACGUCCUGGGAAUGCCUGCCUGCCUGUGUACGUGAUGGUGGGACAGGCCGUCCCUGCCAGGGCUUGGCUUCAGGGUGACUCCGCAGGGAGAUUUCCCUGGCCCCAAGGUGGGGCUCUCCUGGCACCUGGCCUCUCAGCCCCUGACGCUUUCCACGCAGAAGCAGGCUUCCACCCCGUCACCCUGGGCCGGCCCCGCUCCUCUCUUCCCGUAGGACUCGAGGAGGCUUGGCAGGGUAAGAAGUGUCCAUACUCCAGACGGGACAAAGAUACAUCAGUAGAAAGCCCAGCCAGACCUCCAGAUCCUCUCCACCUCCGCAUCUGACGAUCACCCUCUGACUAAUGGACACCUGCAUGCUGUGGAUCCUGGCCCUCGCCAGAAUGGAAUCUCUCAUCCUGGGCAUUGAACUCUCUGCUGCUGCUGCCCCCUCUGACUAAACUGUUCCUCAAAAAGUUGCCCUUUCUAUUGUCUAUUGUGUAACUGUUAAGUUGUUUUGCUGUGCUUACCUGUCUCUCCUAGCUGAACUUAAUUCUCAGUCUGCAUUUCCAAAGUACCUCUCUAGAAUGUUUAACUGUACAGAAGUUAUAAAGUGCAUGGUCACCACCCAAGGGAGCUGCCCUCAGUGGCCCUACACCUUCAGCACCUGUCCUCUCACACUCAGAUAAGCCAGCCUGAGUGUAAUGCUCACCUGCAUAAAAAUAAAUUAGGACUAGAAAUUACUGGGUGUUUUUUGGUAAGCACAGGCUAAUCAAGAGUCUGAAGGGCUCUUUUCAACCUGUACACACAAGGCCCGUACAGACAAAUGCAUAAAAACAUAAUCAUUUGUGUUCUUCACAAAGAACACUCAGGUCUUUAAUGAAAAAGUCACAAGGAAAAAGAUCCUAGCUCAAAGCAAUUAAAAGUAUAAAUACAAGCCAUUCUAACCCUAUCAUAAAUCAAAAUGAUGAUGCCCCUAAAACGAAGUGUUUAAAGGGGCAUCAGAGGGGGUAGUGGUAAGGAAAAUAUUCGACACACCCAUCAAGGUCAGCAGACCGCUUUUUUCCUCCAGUUGGCAAAGCCCCUCCAGCUCCCCCCUCCCCUCCUCCAGGCCCCUCCUUUGCCCUGCACAUGCUCACAUGCGACGUAUCAAAAUAACAUAAAUUCCUCUGCUUGUUUGUGCGCAGGGCUCAGACCUCGGGAGAUGACUCCCCUCUGAGCUGCAGGUGUGAAAUAAACCUCAGCAC
Molecule: non-coding RNA, 2311 nt
Organism: Manis javanica (Malayan pangolin)
Lineage: Eukaryota; Metazoa; Chordata; Mammalia; Pholidota; Manidae
Source: RefSeq, a predicted model, not a curated record